This 492-nucleotide ribosomal RNA is filed under the name uncultured bacterium. Its description in RNAcentral is "partial 16S ribosomal RNA". It matches the Rfam family "Bacterial small subunit ribosomal RNA", at positions 29 to 507 of the family's 1533-position model. The record is from RNAcentral.
AUUGAACGCUGGCGGCAUGCUUUACACAUGCAAGUCGAACGGUAACAGGCCUUCGGGUGCUGACGAGUGGGGAACGGGUGAGUAAUGCAUCGGAACGUACCCAGAGGUGGGGGAUAACGCAGCGAAAGCUGUGCUAAUACCGCAUGUGAUCUGAGGAUGAAAGCGGGGGACCGAGCAGCAAUGUUUGGCCUCGCGCCUUUGGAGCGGCCGAUGUCGGAUUAGCUAGUUGGUGGGGUAAAGGCCUACCAAGGCGACGAUCCGUAGCUGGUCUGAGAGGACGACCAGCCACACUGGGACUGAGACACGGCCCAGACUCCUACGGGAGGCAGCAGUGGGGAAUUUUGGACAAUGGGCGCAAGCCUGAUCCAGCAAUGCCGCGUGCGGGAAGAAGGCCUUCGGGUUGUAAACCGCUUUUGGCAGGAACGAAACGGUGUCCGCUAAUACCGGGCGCUAAUGACGGUACCUGCAGAAUAAGCACCGGCUAACUACGUG